This 303-nucleotide ribosomal RNA is filed under the name Oxyrrhis marina. Its description in RNAcentral is "partial Bacterial small subunit ribosomal RNA". It matches the Rfam family "Bacterial small subunit ribosomal RNA", at positions 521 to 823 of the family's 1533-position model. The record is from RNAcentral. Lineage: Eukaryota; Dinophyceae; Oxyrrhinales; Oxyrrhinaceae.
UAAUACGAAGGGGGCUAGCGUUGUUCGGAAUUACUGGGCGUAAAGGGCGCGUAGGCGGUCUUUUAAGUUAGGCGUGAAAGCCCCGGGCUCAACCCGGGAACUGCGCUUAAGACUGAAAGACUAGAAAACGGAAGAGGGUAGUGGAAUUCCAAGUGUAGAGGUGAAAUUCGUAGAUAUUGGAUGGAACACCAGUGGCGAAGGCGGCCAUCUGGUCCGGGUCUGACGCUGAGGCGCGAAAGCGUGGGGAGCGAACAGGAUUAGAUACCCUGGUAGUCCACGCCGUAAACGAUGAGUGCUAAGUGU